This 254-nucleotide ribosomal RNA is filed under the name uncultured bacterium. Its description in RNAcentral is "partial 16S ribosomal RNA". It matches the Rfam family "Bacterial small subunit ribosomal RNA", at positions 524 to 776 of the family's 1533-position model. The record is from RNAcentral.
CACGUAGGGGGCAAGCGUUGUCCGGAUUUAUUGGGCGUAAAGAGCUCGUAGGUGGCUCGGUAAGUCGGGUGUGAAAUUUCGAGGCUCAACCUCGAGACGCCACCUGAUACUGCUGUGGCUAGAGUCCGGUAGGGGAGCGUGGAAUUCCUGGUGUAGCGGUGAAAUGCGCAGAUAUCAGGAGGAACACCAGCGGCGAAGGCGGCGCUCUGGGCCGGUACUGACACUGAGGAGCGAAAGCGUGGGGAGCGAACAGG